RNAcentral lists this ribosomal RNA (698 nucleotides) under Oxyrrhis marina. RNAcentral's name for it is "partial Bacterial small subunit ribosomal RNA". It matches the Rfam family "Bacterial small subunit ribosomal RNA", at positions 202 to 905 of the family's 1533-position model. Lineage: Eukaryota; Dinophyceae; Oxyrrhinales; Oxyrrhinaceae. The record is from RNAcentral.
AAAGGCCGGGAUCUUCGGACCGGUCACUAUUGGAUGAGCCUGCGUAAGAUUAGCUAGUUGGUGGGGUAAAGGCCUACCAAGGCGACGAUCCGUAGCUGGUCUGAGAGGAUGAUCAGCCACAUCGGGACUGAGACACGGCCCGAACUCCUACGGGAGGCAGCAGUGGGGAAUAUUGGACAAUGGGGGAAACCCUGAUCCAGCAAUGCCGCGUGAGUGAUGAAGGCCUUAGGGUUGUAAAGCUCUUUUACCCGGGAUGAUAAUGACAGUACCGGGAGAAUAAGCUCCGGCUAACUCCGUGCCAGCAGCCUCGGUAAUACGGAGGGUGCAAGCGUUAUCCGGAAUCACUGGGUUUAAAGGGUGCGUAGGCGGCGCUAUAAGUCAGAGGUGAAAGGCCACAGCUUAACUGUGGGACUGCCUUUGAUACUGUAGUGCUUGAAUUAGGCUGAGGUCGGCGGAAUGUGACAUGUAGCGGUGAAAUGCUUAGAUAUGUCAUAGAACACCAAUUGCGAAGGCAGCUGACUAGACCUUAAUUGACGCUGAGGCACGAAAGCGUGGGGAGCGAACAGGAUUAGAUACCCUGGUAGUCCAUGCCGUAAACGUUGGGCACUAGGUGUGGGGACCAUUCCACGGUUUCCGCGCCGCAGCUAACGCAUUAAGUGCCCCGCCUGGGGAGUACGGCCGCAAGGCUAAAACUCAAA